CCCCGCCCCGCGCCCUACGUCGGGUUCAGUGGCGUCCCUGGCCAGCCCCACGCUGAUCAUACGCCAUGUGGCACUGUGGCGCGCGGCGGGGCUGUGUGCGCUGAGGCUGCUGAGCAUUGGAGACGGGAUCUUGCUCUCUUGCCCAGGCUGGUUUUAAACUCCUGGGCUCAAGUGAUCCCCCUCCUCAGCCUCGCACACUGCUGGGCUUACAAUUGUAAGCCAUCUCAUCCAGACAGGCACACCGCAGAGCGUGGCGAUGGAACAGUAACCGGGCUUGUGAGAGGGCUGUACAGUAUCAACUAGGAGACAAGAUCCACGGAUUUACUGUCAACCAGUGACAUCUGUUCCCGAGCUGUUCCUGACGGCAGUGAAGCUCAGCCACGAUGACACAGGAGCCAAGUAUUUACACCUGGCCAGAGAAGACACGAAUAAUCUGUUCAGGUACAUGGUGCAUUGUAAGAACAUGGUCUUGAAUGUUUUAUUUAAAUCAGGGAUGUCCAGUCUUUUGCAGAGAUGCAAAGAAAUGCAGUAGCUGACAGACACAGGAUGGCUCUGGGAGAUGCAGAAGGAGCAUGUCACCCAAAAUAGAGCCAAAUGGGUAUCCUUAAGGAAGGAGCAAAGGGGCUGAAGAAGGGAUUUGUCAUGAGAGAUGGGACAGGAAGUUCUCUAGAGGCAGAGGGAGAGCAUGAGAAUGUCAGGAAGAGACAGGGAUUCUCGCACAUCUGGGAAGCUGACAAUUCAUCAGCAUGGCCACGAGGAAAAUAAGGAGAAGCGGAAAUAAUAGAUGAGGCUGGAUAUAGAAGCAGGGUUCAAGCUGUGUCUAUUGUGGUAAAGAGUUGUGAUUCUAUCCGGAAGGCAAUAGGUAGCAUUCCAAACAAAGAUCUUUUAAAACGAGUCAGAAAAUAUUUUCUGCAAAGGACUAAAUGUUAAACAUUUUAAGUUUUCCAAGCCAUAUGGUCUCUCUGUGAACAAUUUAGCUCUUCCAUUGUACCAUGAAAACAGCCAGAGACGUCAUAUAACACAUGUAUGUGGCUGUGUCCCAGUACAACUUUACUUACAAAUGCAGACUGCGUCAGACAUGGGCCAUGCAUGGUAGUUUGCCACACCCUGUUUUAGAAAGCUCAGGUUUGUGAUAUGAUGGAGAAUGCCUCUGAGAGCUCUUGUUUUAAAUGGUAGAGUGAACAUACACUGCAGUUCUAUCCUGCUUGACCCAAGCCCGUGAUAGUGCAAAGUAGAAAAGAUAGAUAGUAAAUAGAUAGAUGAUAGGCAGGUAGACAGAUGAUAGAUAAAGAAAAUACAUAGCUGUUCCAGAAAACAGAAAGGGGUAACUUCAUGAGCCAAAAAGAAAGUAAUAUACUUUAGAAAGGAAGCAGGCUGGAAAAUCCACAGUUGCAAAGAGAAUAAAAUUUCCAAUUGCCUCUUUGAGUCCUUUCCUGGAAGUAGCCACAGCCGACUUCCUCCUCUGUUUUUUGUUUGUUGCUUGCUUUCUUGUGGUGUUUUUGUUGUUGUUGUUUGCUAU
Piliocolobus tephrosceles (Ugandan red Colobus) is the source of this 1519-nucleotide long non-coding RNA. RefSeq lists it as uncharacterized. Lineage: Eukaryota; Metazoa; Chordata; Mammalia; Primates; Cercopithecidae. The transcript has 4 exons. The record is from RefSeq and is a predicted model, not a curated record.